Molecule: long non-coding RNA, 934 nt
Organism: Canis lupus familiaris (dog)
Lineage: Eukaryota; Metazoa; Chordata; Mammalia; Carnivora; Canidae
Exons: 3
Source: RefSeq, a predicted model, not a curated record
GUGAGGUUGAACACUCAUACAUUUAUUGGCAUUUAGGAUUUCUAUCAGCACAUUGAAGAUAUCCUUCUACUGUCCUUUGGAUUCCCAUUGUUGCUGCUGAGAAGUUGGCGUUCAUUCUUGCUGCCACUCACUUGAAGGUCAGUUGUACAAAGGGUCAACUCAUCCAGAACCCUGUGAAGACCAUUGAUGUCGGCCUCGACGCUCUGGUGUAGAGUAAGUUCGUUUUCAUACCUGAAAGGUCUGCAUUGGCCUCCUCCAGAGCUCGUACAUGGUCCAGGUAGCACGCCAGGCGGUCAUUGAGGUUCUGCAUGGUCACCUUUUCAUUCCCAGAAAGGAGGCCAUGCUCAUUUCCCAGAAAACCAGCACAGACACCCCCACCACCAUGAUAGAAACCUCCUCCAGAAGAAAUGCUCCCAAGAGCACAAGAAAUGUUACUUCCUGCUCCAGAUCCACGGCACACAUUCCCAGCUCCAAAGCCUGGACCGCCACCAGACAGCCACCCCGGGCUAGCUCGUGAGCAGACUCUCCUAGCUCCACUAGAAAGUUGAAAAGACAUGGUGACAGUACAGUGGAGUGACCCUUUCUCAGCAAGGAGCAAAGCAAAAGCACACCAUCCAUAGAAGUGAAGAAGUGAUCUCCAUUGGCCUUUUAUAGGUCUCAGUAGGUUCUUUCAGUCUUGACUUUCAAUCUGUAAUAAAAAUUACUUGCUCCCUAAUUGUUGUUUUUCAUAAUUGGAUGAUUUUUAAUUGUGUCCAGUCUGUAGGUGGAAAGGUGCCCCAAGGGUAUGUUGAUCUAUGAAAAGGUGCCUGGCCGAGUAAUACUAAAUCAUAGUUUCAAAGGUCAAUAUUAAAUGUGAGUAAACAUACAUCUUUUUGACCUCUGGAAGAGAGUCUAGUUUUUUUUUCCUCUAGAUAAUAAAGAAUAAUUCACAUGA